RNAcentral lists this ribosomal RNA (492 nucleotides) under uncultured bacterium. RNAcentral describes it as "partial 16S ribosomal RNA". It matches the Rfam family "Bacterial small subunit ribosomal RNA", at positions 29 to 507 of the family's 1533-position model. The record is from RNAcentral.
AGUGAACGCUGGCGGUAGGCCUAACACAUGCCAGUCGAACGGCAGCACAGUAAGAGCUUGCUCUUACGGGUGGCGAGUGGCGGACGGGUGAGGAAUACAUCGGAAUCUACUUUUUCGUGGGGGAUAACGUAGGGAAACUUACGCUAAUACCGCAUACGACCUACGGGUGAAAGCAGGGGAUCUUCGGACCUUGCGCGAUUGAAUGAGCCGAUGUCGGAUUAGCUAGUUGGCGGGGUAAGGGCCCACCAAGGCGACGAUCCGUAGCUGGUCUGAGAGGAUGAUCAGCCACACUGGAACUGAGACACGGUCCAGACUCCUACGGGAGGCAGCAGUGGGGAAUAUGGGACAAUGGGCGCAAGCCUGAUCCAGCCAUACCGCGUGGGUGAAGAAGGCCUUCGGGUUGUAAAGCCCUUUUGUUGGGAAAGAAAAGCAGCAGGUUAAUACCCCGCUGUUCUGACGGUACCCAAAGAAUAAGCACCGGCUAACCUCGUG